UUGAUUCCUGGCUCAGGACGAACGCUGGCGGCGUGCUUAACACAUGCAAGUCGAGCGGUAAGGCCCUUCGGGGUACACGAGCGGCGAACGGGUGAGUAACACGUGGGUGAUCUGCCUUGCACUCUGGGAUAAGCCUGGGAAACUGGGUCUAAUACCGGAUAUGACCUUCGGUUGCAUGACCGGGGGUGGAAAGAUUUAUCGGUGCAAGAUGAGCCCGCGGCCUAUCAGCUUGUUGGUGGGGUAAUGGCCUACCAAGGCGACGACGGGUAGCCGGCCUGAGAGGGCGACCGGCCACACUGGGACUGAGACACGGCCCCAGACUCCUACGGGAAGGCAGCAGUGGGGAAUAUUGCACAAUGGGCGGAAGCCUGAUGCAGCGACGCCGCGUGAGGGAUGACGGCCUUCCGGGUUGUAAACCCUCUUUUCGGCUCCGACGAAGCGAGAGUGACGGUAGGAGUAUAAGAAGCACCGGCCAACUACGUGCCAGCAGCCGCGGUAAUACGUAGGGUGCGAGCGUUGUCCGGAAUUACUGGGCGUAAAGAGCUUGUAGGCGGCUUGUCGCGUCGAUCGUGAAAACUCGGGGCUCAACCCCGAGCUUGCGGUCGAUACGGGCAGGCUUGAGUACUUCAGGGGAGACUGGAAUUCCUGGUGUAGCGGUGAAAUGCGCAGAUAUCAGGAGGAACACCGGUGGCGAAGGCGGGUCUCUGGGAAGUAACUGACGCUGAGAAGCGAAAGCGUGGGUAGCGAACAGGAUUAGAUACCCUGGUAGUCCACGCCGUAAACGGUGGGUACUAGGUGUGGGUUUCCUUCCACGGGAUCCGUGCCGUAGCUAACGCAUUAAGUACCCCGCCUGGGGAGUACGGCCGCAAGGCUAAAACUCAAAGGAAUUGACGGGGGCCCGCACAAGCGGCGGAGCAUGUGGAUUAAUUCGAUGCAACGCGAAGAACCUUACCUGGGUUUGACAUACACCGGAAACCUGCAGAGAUGUAGGCCCCCUUGUGGUCGGUGUACAGGUGGUGCAUGGCUGUCGUCAGCUCGUGUCGUGAGAUGUUGGGUUAAGUCCCGCAACGAGCGCAACCCUUAUCUUAUGUUGCCAGCGCGUAAUGGCGGGGACUCGUGAGAGACUGCCGGGGUCAACUCGGAGGAAGGUGGGGACGACGUCAAGUCAUCAUGCCCCUUAUGUCCAGGGCUUCACACAUGCUACAAUGGCCGGUACAGAGGGCUGCGAUACCGUGAGGUGGAGCGAAUCCCUUAAAGCCGGUCUCAGUUCGGAUCGGGGUCUGCAACUCGACCCCGUGAAGUUGGAGUCGCUAGUAAUCGCAGAUCAGCAACGCUGCGGUGAAUACGUUCCCGGGCCUUGUACACACCGCCCGUCACGUCAUGAAAGUCGGUAACACCCGAAGCCGGUGGCCUAACCCUGUGGAGGGAGCCGUCGAAGUGAU
RNAcentral lists this ribosomal RNA (1442 nucleotides) under Nocardia sp. BY352. Its description in RNAcentral is "bacterial SSU rRNA". It matches the Rfam family "Bacterial small subunit ribosomal RNA". The record is from RNAcentral. Lineage: Bacteria; Bacillati; Actinomycetota; Actinomycetes; Mycobacteriales; Nocardiaceae.